Molecule: long non-coding RNA, 574 nt
Filed under: Nicotiana benthamiana
Lineage: Eukaryota; Viridiplantae; Streptophyta; Magnoliopsida; Solanales; Solanaceae
Description: long non-coding RNA (NBEN_LNC034886)
Source: RNAcentral
UUACCUUCCCCAGACCCCACCUGGUGGGAGUAUACUGGGUAGUUGUUGUUGUUGUUGUUGAUUCAUAAUUCAGACUCCUAAUGCAAUAUCGGGUAGAAAUUAAUUGAACAAAUUAAUUUAAAAGAAGGUAACCUGAGCAUCAGUUAAUCGUGAAGGGCUAGGGGAAGAAGAGGAGGAAAGAUCAAGGGAAGGGCGGCGAUCGAGAGCAUCAGUAUCGGAGGCGGCAUCAAGGCCACGCCGGGAAGUGGAAGGCGACAGAUGCAUGUGUUGCGACGGCGGAGGCGACGGCGACAUAAUUUUCUCGGUCACGGCGGCAGCCAUGGUUGGGUGGUUGUUGUGAAAUUAAUAACAACGAGUCCAAAGGAAGUGUAAACGGCUAUUUAGCACGGAGAAUGACGUGUCGGUUACAUCAAAGGUUCGAGCGCGUCGUGGUGUUGUUGGGACGUAACUCUACCGAUGGUAUUCAGUUUUUUUAAAAAAAAAUAUUUAUUCAGUUUUAAGUUUGAUGUGCCCAUUUUUGACUUUUUUCUCGACCUUUUUCCUCGCUACUAGACCAACUAACGGUCAACAGUAU